CUCGAGCAAGGUACUGAACAUUGCGAUUCUUGACUUGAUGUGUUCUGUCCAUUUGUAAUCUGUACAAUUGAUGUCUAUCUCAGGAAAGUUGAAUGGAAUUGAUGCAUAUCUCUGUUGAUGAAACAAAUCAGUACUUACUUCUGUUCUGAUUAUAGAAUUGAACAUGAAGAGGAAUGGGACAGUCCCCUUUCAUCAAGAAAAUUGAGUCAGAGAGUACAAGAUAAACCAUUACACUUUUAUGAUGCCCACCAUUUUGCAUCAAGAGUCAGGACUCAUCCUCAGGUACCUAAAGCAUACAAAGAAACAACACGGAACACUACUGCAACUACAAAGGAUCAGGAGUCAUCCUCAGCUCGUUCGCAUAACAGUCGACCUGCCGCAAGUUCCAAAAGGUUGAAUCCACAAAAGAUUCAACCUCGAGCACAAGCAGACCUCAGAGUGAAUCAGCUACAGGGGGUAAGUAAAUCCUCCCCUCUGGUGAAGUCUGAUUGAAAAAUCAAAAAAUAAUUCGUAUUUCUGUGCCAGCCCUCUGUGUGGAUUCAAAAAACUGUGAAAUGAAAAUUUUAAUUUUUUAAGCAUAUUUGUUCAAAUUGCGAUAUGUGUACAUAACAUCUAUAAAUGAACAUAUAGCAAGUUUUCUAUUCUUUACAUAUAUCUAAGCAUUGCAGCUUAGCUGGUGGAAUCAUGAACCCAAUGUUUCAUUUGGAGUAAUGCGGUGUAUAUAUAUGCCAAUAACGCGUAGACAGGUGACCUAUUACACACUUGAAAUGAAAAAGAUUCGUUUUUAGGAUAGUAGUACUUCCAGGAUAACCAGCUGAAAGGGGUCCCGAAAAUAUAAGACAUUUUAAUGCAAAUGUGACCAAGCAACUUUCACUCACUAUGCUGUGUGAGGUUCUUGGUCAGGGGUCAGGACUGAAGGAUCUCCUCGAUCUGCUGCACAACAUAAGACAUUGUAGGCCUUGAGUCAACAUAUUGACUGCAACAGUUCAUGGCGACAUGCAGAAUUCGCACCAUGCACUCUUCUACCCCGUCUUUCUGCUCUUGCCCUCGGAGCUCCACGUCAAACACCUCCGCCGUCCAAUCAACGGAAUAAACCCACCGUGGUAAAUCUACUCCCUGCUUAUUCGUUAUGCUAUUUGUUGGGGCCUUGCGUGUGAGAAGCUCCAGUAGUAGGAUGCCGAAACUGUACACGUCGGCUUCCUGGGAGAACAACUUAUUGUCGAUGAGCUCAGGCGCGCGGUAGCCGGAGGCAUUGGGAUACGUGCCAAGUGUUAUCAGGCCGUGCUCCGACACACAUGCAUCGUGGGUACCCGUGAGCAGGAUGUUGGAAGACUUGAUGUUGCCAUGGCAGCUCGAUGGUCCAGCUAAAUGGAUAGCCGCCACACCGCGCGCAGCAGCAAGUGAGAUGGCUGACCGCUGCUCCCAGUUCAGUGGAGAUGGACCGGAGUCUCUGUCACCUAGAUUAACACAUCAUGAAUCAGUGAUGCAUAAAAAACAUUACAAAUUGUGAAGGUAAGCAUAUGAUAGCAUUGUAACAUUACCGUGGAGCACUUUUGCUAGGCUACCCAUGGGGAUGAUAUCAUACACUAGCAACUUCUCAUCCGUGCUACAGUAAUACCAUUGCAGUGGCACAAUGUGCUUGUUCUCGAUGGCACCUAUCAGCGUGAUAUGCUGCUCAAAUUCCGCAUUCGGCAACUCCACACCCGUCAGCCUCUUGGUCACUACCUCAUAUCCACUUUCAAGAGUCGCUUUGUAUGUUGUCCCGACUGUACCCUUGCCCAGAACUUCAGCCGAUGCCCGAAGCAGGUCCUCCAUCUCAAACAAUUGGCCUGUCACUGUCGAUCUAAUGAUAAAAGUUCCCACAUUUCGGGUACUGCUACUGCUUCCCUCGGAUAGAUCUUUGGCUGAAGCCACACUUCCUGUUUUUGGGGUACUACCAUUGCUUUCUUGUGAUGGGGUCAUUUCAGCUGUAGCUACAGUUCUCAUAUUUUGGCUAUUGCUACUGCUUUCUAGCGAUGGUAUUUCGGUCGGACUGAGUUUUUGUUUCCUUCCCCAAGAAAACAGAGCUAUUCUUUCUUGUGUGUGGUGUGCAGCUUUUCUAAGUUUGCGAAGACUUUCUGCUACUUCUAACAUCUCAGGACGUUUGCUGAGUUCCAUCCCCAAGCAUUUACCUGCCAACUUUGCAGUCUCAUCGAUAGUCUUCAUGUCGCUCGAUGUUGCAAUUUCAGGAUCAAACAUCUCCCUUACCCUCCUAAACCCUUUUGAAAGAGAAUGAAAAAAACUUUCAACCAAGUUAAUCUCCUCAUCCUCUGUUCUUGCUUUUUUUCUGGUUAUCAGUUCCAGGAGCACAACUCCAAAACUGUAAACAUCACUCUUUGUGCUGAGGCGACCACUCCGAGCAAACAGAGGGUCCAUGUAGCCUAUACUUCCUAUCACACUUUGAGUAUAUAGAGUAUUUUCACUGGUGACUAGUCUUGAUAUUCCAAAGUCUGAUAUUUUUGCUCCGAGUUUGUCAUCCAGAAGUAUAUUAGCAGGCUUGAUAUCACCAUGAAUUACCGGAGUAUUCAUGUAUGAAUGCAUAUAAUGCAAUGCUUCUGCACAUUCAGUGGCAAUUCUUAGCCGUGUAUCCAAAGCUAUUGGAAUGUUAUCAUGGUGAAGGAUGUUACUCAGAUUUCCUUUAGGAAUAUACUCCAUGAGCAACAUUUGGGCAUUUGCAUCUGAACAGUAGCCGACUAAUCUGACUACAUUCUUGUGAUUAAUUUCACGGUGGAUGAUGAACUCUUUGGCAAAAUUUUCUUUUUCAUUUUGGAUAAACUUCUUGACUGCAACCACACUUUCGUCCUCAAGGACUCCUUCAUAAACUUCUCCAAAGGCACCUCUACCGAGUACAGUCUUGUAGUUGUUGGUAAAUCUUCUUAUCUCAUCUUCUGUAAAACAUUUCAAAUUAUGAUUGCUCUGUGCAAUCCAUUUCGAUCUACGCUCUUCCUGGAUAUGUUGUGUUACUAUAUUUUUCGGAUGAUCCAUCUUUGGAAGUAGCAGGGAACCUAUUCAACGUUGGAAGACCAUUUGACCUAGAAAACAGUUUUGGUAAUGCUAAAAGUCAAAUUUAAUCCAACUUAUCAAUGAGGAGACAAAUAAACGAAGUACAUAAAAGUCCUUAAUUCCCUUGGAUUAAUCAUCAAUAAUAUGGCAGGGAUUUCAGAUGCCCAUUGGGCACUGGGCAACAUAUAUAAGAUAUAUAUGCUCCAUUAGAGUUCAUUUAGAAACAAAAAUACCUCCCCUAGCUGCGGAAGAUAACCAAUCUACUCCCUCCGUUCCAAAUUACUCGUCGCUGAUAUGGAUGUAUCUAGAAUUAAAAUACAUCUAGAUACAUCCAUACGUGAGACAAGUAAUUCGGAACGGAGGGAGUAGAUUGCUAUUAUGCUGUUUUAGAUAUUCACACAGCACUGCAGAGAAUCAUUUGCGUUUCUUCAUGAACUACGUCGCCAGAGGAAGUACUAUGUACGAGGGAGUAUAUUAAUAUUUAUUAUUCAGUUCUGCUCUGGAUUUUUAAUAGCAGCUUCAUGGCACGAUCUGAGUAGUUCUACAUAGAAGAAAUCUUUCGAACAUGAAGAAAACAGGUUGGCUUCGGCUAAACAAAGAAGUUAAGAAUUUAUGAUACAUAGUGCUAAUAUCUCAGGAAAAAAGCCCAGAGAGAAGUCGAAGAAAUGUGGUAAAGACAUGGAGAUGGGCAAGGUUGAACCAAACAUACCACUUGAGAAUGGAAGGCGUAACAUAGCACAAUCAAUGGAGCCUUCUCUUGUUAGUGGUAGCACAGAUCGCCAUGGAAUGGAUCUAGAAGAAGCACAGGUAGCGUAUAGCAACUAUAUUCUGUUACUCUAUUCAUGGACCGAUUGAUGGUCAACUCUCAGAACGUGGAAUGAGGUGGCCUUGUCCUUAUUGACAAGUUGUAUGUACCGAAUUAAAAAAAGAUAAUCAUGCCAAGGGCAUCUCCAGCAACCCGGUAGAGAUGGGCCAAUUUUACACAAAGUAACUUCCUCGCCAACAGACUGUUUUGGUAAGGCUGUCUUGUUACUAGAGCCGCCAACACUAUUUGAUUGUGGCACGGUAAUUGAUUCGUGCUGCUCUAUAAUGGACUAUGGACUUCAUCUUUGUGCCUGUAUGGGUGUUUACUGUACUAUAUACAUAAACUUGCACCUACUCAUUUGUAGUAUCAUCUAGCAACCCAAGUUGAACCCAUACACGUAAAAGGUCUAAAAAAGACUAGAUAUGUAUCAGGAUAAUCAUGCAAUGUGAAAAAGAAAAGCAAUAUGAAUCAUAUGAUGAUUUUGAGAGUGAAUCUCCAUGGUUCAUGCUGCUGCAUAAGAGCAUCUCCAGCUGCACCCCCAGAACGGCCUCCCCAGGCGUUUUUUUGCGCCGGCGCCAAAAAACGGCCCAGCCGCGCCCCAGGAGCCCGUUUUUCGCCGGCUUGGGCCGAAAUCAGCGCCGGCGGACCCAGGCCGAACCCGAUGCGCCGGGGGGCGCCGGGGCGAGUGUUUUGGCGCGAAACAGUUGCGGGCCCGCCGAGUCAGCGAGACGGCCGCUUCGUCGACCUUAUCGCCUCGGUUCCCGCGGGAAUCAAUGCGAAGGAUGCCGCGCUGCCGCGCCGGUCAGCCUCCAUUGAUGCCUCACGGGCGGCGCAGUGAAGACGCUGCCGACACCCGCUUCUACAGGCUUCUCGGCAUGUAGACGGCGGCGGCGACGGCUAGGCUUUUUAGUUCGUUUUUAAGUUAGUUCAUACAUGUUUUUAAGUUUUUGUACAAAUUUCGUCGAGAAAUGGCCGAGUUCAUGCAAAAGUCACCGAGUUUGCAAAAAAAUUAAGACGAACUUCGCCGAAUCCACGGCGACAGUGGGCGUGUGACUGAGAACGAACCGAACCCCAGGAGCCGAUCUAGCGCCGGCUCGCCCCCAGGCCGCUCUUUUUCGGCGCCCCAAGAGGCCGAACGGCUGGAGAUGCUCUAACUACAGAGCAGUACUACUGCAUGCUACAUGCUCCAACGGGACAACAUGUACUGCUAGUGAAGCUUCUAUAACUGAACUUUCGUACUGUAUAUGAAUAAUCAAAGCCGAUUGCUUUGGGACUCCCAAAAUGAGUAGAGUAUUCAGGACCAUAAACUAUUGCAGGCAACAGAAGGUAGAGGUGCUGCCGAUCGUGCUGUGGGUGACCUGUGGCGGAGGAGGUGGCGUCCGUCCGUCUCUCCAGCGGUGCUUUUCCUGUGCCCACUUCGUCCCCCCUCCGGGCGGGAGGCGGAGGCGGCUCGUUUGCCAGACGACAGAACUGGCCAUAAGAGCAACUUCAACGGACCGACCCAAAUGGACGCGUAUUUUAUUCGUAUUUUAUCCGUUUGGAUCGGCCGUCCACCCCGCCGUGCAGUGGCGAGUUCACCAGGCAGGCUUCGAUAGGCUUGAGCCUACCCUCCAAAUUCGUGGAAUUUUUUUUACUACUAGGCUUCAAAAUAUUUCUUAGGCCCAGCCCAGAAAAAAUGGUCCAGCAGGCAGCCCAUCUAAGAAUCGGCGACUGACCCAGCCUCCCGCACGCUCGCACGCGCACGAAGCACAUCAGGCGCACGAGCAGCGACCACCCAAUAACCUAGCCGCCGGCCGCCAGACGCCACCUCCUAGUCCGGCGCCGCCUCCCCGCCUCCUCGCCGUCGCUGCGUCCUCGCCGAGCGCCGCCUCCCCGCCCAACGCCGUCAUCAGCCGAGCGCCCGAGCCUGCACGAGGGACGGGGCCACGGGGGGAGCCGGGCUGCACCUGCCGGGGAGCUCGUCGCCCACGACGCCCAGGGCUCUCUGCAGGUCGCCGGAUCCGCCGACUCCCCACUGGACGCCGGACGCCUCUCUGCAGGUCGCCGGACGCCGGACACCAGAAUCCCGGUCCAGAGCAAUUCGAAAUAGGUUGGCUGUUGUCUCUGUCUGACUCUGUUUGAUUCUUCUUAGUUUAGUUGAUAGCAGUUGCUAGUUUAGUUAAUUCUAGUCAGUAUGUAGUUUGGAUCUAGUCAGUACUGGUUGUAGUAACAAUUAAUUCAUGAACUAAUUUAUGUCCUUGUUUAUUUUUUUAUAGAAAUGAAGAGAAAGAGGACUCUGCAUAGUUGGUUUGCAAGUAGUUCAAAUACACUUCCUAUUGUUCCUGAAUCCAAUGUUGCCCCAAUUAAUGUUAUUGUUCAGCCUACCCUCAUAGAGAACAUAAUCCCGGAUGAUCCAACAAAUGAGAGCACUAAUCCCUCGGUUGAUGAGAGCACUAAUCCCUCGGUUGAUGAGAGCACCAAUCCCACUUCAAAUGAGAGAACCAAUCCCCCAACCGAUGAGAGCACAAACCAACCAGCACCACCAACACAAUAUAUAUUAGAAUUUCAUCCAAGUCAGAUUUUUGGUGAUCCGGCGGAUCGAAUACCAAUAGAAGAUUAUACCCCUGAAAUUCGAAGUGAAGUGAGAAGAGCUUAUUUGUUGAAAGAGCGAAACAAAGCAAGUGGGCAUAAAUUUGAAGUCACAUUGGACGGUAAAAUUUGAAGAUCUUUUCAACCACAAUGGCUAGAUAGGUUUGAUUGGUUGGAAUAUAGUGUCGCAAAGGAGGCUACCUUUUGCUUCCCUUGUUUUCUUUUCAAGAAACCAUCACAGGCUGCUACAUUUGGAAAUGAUGUAUUUACCAUAGAUGGUUACAAACGCUGGAAAACAGCUUUGGCAAGUUUUCAAAAACAUGUUGGUGGUCCAUCUAGUUACCACAACAUUGCUAGAGGCUUGUGUGAUGAUUUCAAGAAUAAAAGGGCCAAUGUGGCUACCAAAUUCCGAGCACAUACUAAAGAAUCUGAAAUAAAAUAUAAAAUCCGUUUGACCGCAUCACUAGAGGCUCAAGGGGAAGCUUUUCAUGGACAUGAUGAGUCCUCCGAUUCCGUAAACAAAGGCAAUUUCAGGGAGUUCUUGGAUUGGUACAAAGACAAGAAUAAAGAUGUGAAAGAUGCAUUUGAAAAUGGGCAAGGUAAUGCACUUAUGAUAUGUUCACGGAUUCGAAAGGACCUUGCUACAUGUUGUGCUUUGGAGGUAACCAAAGUCAUCAAGAAUGAGCUUGGAGAUAAGAAUUUUGCGAUACUUGUUGACGAGGCUAGAGAUUGCUUAAUAAAGGAGCAAAUGGCAAUAAUUUUGAGGUAGUUCAAUGGUUUACAAAGGCUAAUUCUUUUAUUUUAUGUUGUUAUUUGUUUAUUUUCUUAUAACUUGUAGCUCUCCAAAUGUGCAGAUUUUUGGAUGAUAAUGGGGAGCUUCAGGAGAGAUUUCUUGCUAUUAAGCACAUCACAGAUUGCACAUCUGCCGGAAUUAAAGAAGCAUUGUUUCAUGUCUUAAAGUACCAUGGCUUGUCUAUUAAUAGGCUACGUGGACAGGGUUAUGAUGGGGCUUCAAACAUGAGAGGAGAAUUCAAUGGUUUGCAAAAGCUAAUUCGUGAUGAGAGUCCAUAUGCUUUCUAUGUUCACUGUUUUGCCCAUCAGUUGCAACUAGUGGUUGUCACAGUGGCUCAAUGUUGUCUGGUUAUUGCUGAUUUUUUCAACUCUCUUCCCUUGAUAGUGACUCAGGUGGGUUCAUCCUGCAAAAGAAAAGACGCAUUGCUUGCAAAGCAUCAAGAUGACUUGAUAGAGAUGAUGGAGAAUUGUAAGAUAUCAUCUGGAACUGGUUUACAUCAAGAAACUAACCUAGCUAGACCAGGAGCUACUCGUUGCGGCUCACAUCUUAGAACCUUGCUUCGUGUUUACACAAUGUGGAAUGCAGUGGUGGAUGUGCUUGCAAUUGUGAUUGAGGAUUCCCGGGAACACACUUCUCAAGGUGGAGCUUCAGGUUUGUUGGUACAGAUGGAAUGCUUCCAAUUUGUGUUCAUCAUGAUAUUCUUAAUAAACUUGUUGAACAUCACAAAUAUGCUAUCACAAGCUUUGCAAAGGAAGAAUCAAGAUGUUGUUGAAGCCAUGCGUUUGAUCUUGGAUGUGAAAGAAGCUUUGCAAACUAUGAGGGACAAUGGGUAUGAGCCAUUAUGCAAGCAAGCAAAACACUUUUGUGAGGAACAUGGCAUUGACGUGCCAAAUAUGGAUGAUCUUGUUGGAGCUAUGGGGCAAUCUGCUCGAAGCAAGAAUAAGGUGACUCGAGAUCAUUAUUUCAGGGUGAGCAUAUUCAGUGUUGCGAUUGAUGCAACUCUCACUGAGAUGAACCACCGAUUCAAUGAAGUUAACACCGAUUUAGUGGAUUGCAUGUCUUGUCUUAAUCCAGCUAACAACUUCUCAAAGUUUAAUGAUGAGAAACUUAUUCGGCUUGCUGAAAUUUAUGUUGAAGAUUUUACACAAGUUGAAUGGUUGUUGCUAAGAUACGAGCUUCCAACAUUCCUUACAAAUAUUAGGAGAAGUGAGGAAUUUGAUGGAUGUCCGGAUAUUUCUACUCUUGCUCGUUUGAUGGUUCAAACAAUGAAACAUAGAAAUUUCCAAUUGGUAUAUCGCCUUAUUGAGUUGACAUUGAUUCUUCCAGUGGCAACUUCGUCGGUCGAGCGAAUAUUUUCAGCAAUGAAGGUCAUCAAAACAGAUUUGCGCAAUAAGAUAUCAGACGAUUGGCUCAAUGAUUUAAUGGUAUGCUACUGUGAGAAAAGGAUGUUCAAAAGUAUUCCAGAUGAUCAAAUUAUGAUACGAUUUCAGAAAAAGAAAAAUCGCAAAGGACAUUUGCCUCCUGAGUAUGAUGUUAUUUCUUAGAGGUAUAUCUCUGUUUUAGUACUAGUGUCGAUAGUUAGUUGAGGGUACUUUACCAUAUCACUAACAUUUGUGCCAAUUUGGACAGAUGGCUUGCAGUUUGUCACUUGCAUUUUGGUGUGGAGGAGUUCUACAACUACAAUAUUGUUAGUAAGAAGCAACACCGGUAUCUUGUCUUUGCCUUAUUAUGGUUGAUUCUCUAGUACUUGAUGUAUUGGUGUGCAGAUGGUAUGAAACUUUGCUGUUGUUCAAUAAUGCUACUAGUAUUUGUCUUGAGAAUCAUGUCCAUUUGAGCACUGUUUGGCACAUAUUGUCUCUAUAAAUUGGUAAAACCAUUUUUCUUUCAAAAUUCCAGAAAAAAAUCAGUAAAUACUAAAUGCUUCCAGUAGUAGGCUGGGAAAUUUUGAGCUUAUUUGGCCAAGAGGAUUAGGAGAUAAUGGCCAUUUUAGUCACCUGAUUCAAAAUUUGGUUCAAAAUUUGAUAUUUUCUAAAAAAGCCAGAAAAAAUCUAGUAUAUAGUACGUGUUUCCAGUAUUAAUCUGGGAAACUUUCAGUUUAUUUCUACAAAAGGACUAGGAGAUAAGCAGCUUUUUCUUCAAAAGAGCGUUCGAUUUUCUCGGCUUAAACAUUGAGCCCACCCUCCGUUUUUCUCUAGAUUCGUCACUGCCGCCGUGUCCGCUUUUUCAUUUGCGUCGGCUGAUGCGCCCAACGCGGGCGGAACGCAUUUUUUGCAUGUCGCCGAACACGUAGCAGGCGGGGAGCUUGCAGCGAGGCAAGGCGGGCGCGGCGCGGCACGACGAGCAUCGGGCGCGAGCGUGAGCGAGACGCGAAGCCAGCGGCUGCAGCAACGAAGCUAGCUAGCUCGCGUGGGGCGCCAUGCACGGCCGGCACCCACCAUCCAGCAGAGCUAGCUGCUCGUGUGGAUGGCUCGUGUGAAUGCCCAUACUACACGUGGGUAUGCGUCAAGCAGGGAGGACGCGGGCAGGGAGUUCGCCGUCGCGCGGUGAGGCAAGGCCGGACAGGAACCGCGGGCGCCGCGAGGCUGCAGGGCGCGAGCUCCAGUGCUCCAACGGCGAGCAGACACGCACCCGUGUGCUCUCGUGCCCUCGUGCAGGGCGCGGUGGCCUGGCCUGCUCUCGUGCCCGCCCGUGUGCUCGAGGCCGUGCUCCGCCGCACCCGCUUCCCGCGUCCUGCCGGAAGCACCCGCUCGUCGCCUCCGCUCGUCCGCCUCGUGACUCGCCGCGCAUGCUCGCGACACCCGCACCUCGCCGCGGCUGCCGCCCCCGCUCGUGCGCCUCGCCGCUCGCCCCGCCGCCUCACGCGCCCCACAGCUCGCCUCCGGAGCCGCUGCUCUGCCCGUGCCCCGCUCGUGCGCGCCGCACCCCGCGAGCUCGCGCUGCUCUGCCCGUGCGGAACAACAUGCGCGCGGCCUAGCAGUCGACGGCGAUGAGCAGAAGGUGGUCGAGCGGGGCGGCGGGCGCAUCGGAGCAGUGCGCCUCGGCGUCGGCGCAGAGGAGGAGAGAGAUGGGGCGGGGAUGGGCCAGCGAAUAAAAUAAGAAAAGGAGGUCGCUGGGUGGGUGACAGGUGGGCUUGACCCGGACACAGAUGGACGAGGCGGGCGCAGAAAACGCACCCUUUGUGUCCGCCUCGGACCCAAAUACAACCCAAAUUUAAGACUAAAAUGGGUACGCGCAGACACAAAGCGGACGUAAAAUGGAAAUGGGUCUGCGCGUUGGGCGCUCGUUUUUGUCCGCGCAGAUGCAUACGGACGCAGGCGGACGUUUUGGGUACCCGCGUUGGAGUUGCUCUAACCUACCGCUAAUCAACAUUUCAGUAAAACUAGGUUCAGUAUAAUUCUUGGUGGUAAGCUUCAUCUAGAAUUGGGUUCUGCUAGUAUGUUCAGCAAUGCAGUUGUGCAUUGUGCUUGAAGACAACACUGAAGCCCUUUGCUCCGAAGACUUCUUUUGAUCAUUAUGAAAUGAAGUGCUCAUGAUUUAGAUGGGGUUGGUGAAGUUCAUAUAAUAGCUGUGGUUCUUUUAAAUACACGUGUGUCGUGUGGCUUCUGUGUUUGAGCUCUAGAGUUGUACUCCCUCUGUAAAGAAAUAUAGUGAUCUAGACGCUCUUAUACCCAAGCCACUAUAUCUCGAAAAGUUUACGCAACGACGUCUAACCACUUGGGUGAGUGCGACUUGUGAGCCUACCUAGUGUUGACACGUGCAUUAAAUGGGGGGCUGGGGUGUACAUUUGCAUGGUAACUGUAGGCUGCCAUUGAUUCGCAUUUUUUCGUGCGCACUUGGGGUGGAUCUUGCAAUUUUGGUGGCGGGCGGUGAUUUUCUUUGUCUGCAGCAGGUGGAGCUCGCAACAUGCAGCAAUGGGAUGGACUUUUUCUGAUGUGACCACGUGCAUGCGCCGACUGCUCAUGGGCUCUCUCGAUUGAUCUGGACACCGGUGCAUGCAGCGGUUUCCAGAAUUUUGUCUGUAGCAGUUUUUAGAUUUCUCUUCAUUCUUUCUUUCUCUAUCUUAAAAGAUCACAACCGACGUACGUGCCUAUAAAAACCUUCUCAUCGCACGAGUCUCUUCAAUCACGGUUGCGGGCAAUCAGUAUGUUCUCCCCUUUGCUCCUAAGACUUCUUUUGAUCAUCAUCACAUGAAGUGCUCAUGAUUUAGAUGGGGUUGGUGAAGUUCAUAUAGUAGCUGUAGUUCUUUGAAAUACACUUGUGUCGUGUGGCUUCAGUGUUUGGGCCUUUUGAGCUCUAGAGUUGUACUCCCUCCGUAAAGAAAUAUAGUGAUCUAGAUGCUUUUAUAUUUCACUACGGAGAGGGUACUGAUUAUAUUUUUGUGAAAGCAAUAUUCUUCAGGUGGAUGAACGUGGCCUGAAAAAGGAGCAGAUGCAUUAUGAGAUGCCGCGGCCAAGUACCAUGGCCUUGUACAGUUUGGUCGUUCCUCCAUGACUGCGUGCUCAAUCGCGAGGCAGCUGCACUCCCUUUUGUCGCUGAGAAGUAGGUCGGCACUGCAAAAAAUCAGUGUGCCUUCCUUGCUUUGUUUGUUCAAUACGCACGCGGUUGUGCCUUUUCAGCUCAAUGUCUGAACCAGCAACAUAGGCGCACCAUGCCUGUUGUGUUUGUUCAGUUUGCACUUUUGCCUUUUCAUCAGUUUAAAAAGGGAAAAGUAUAUUUUUCGUCCCCUAAUUUUCUCAAAAGUAUAGAAAUGGUUCCUCAACUCCAAAACCAGCAAAUCCUAGUCCCUCAACUUCUCAAACCGGAUGCUUUUCGUCCCUCGUACCGCUUCAAGUGGUUUUGUUGAUGAUGUGGCAUGGUUUUGGUUGGCAUUUUAUCGAACACCUGUCGUGCGUCCUGGCACAGUUUCGGACGGUGGUGGGCCGAACAUCAGGUAUAUGGCGUGCCUUUCAUCGACGCCGAGGCCAUGCCCAGCACCUCGCCUCGCGUCGUCGUGCCUCCGAUGAGCAGCUUUGUGCAGCAGACCGAGAAGGAGAAGCUGAGCAUGGCGUAGACCUCCAUUCCAGCCGCUCCUGCCCCUCCUCUUCCAAGCGCUGCCCCCUACCCUCACCGUGAGGUCGCAGUCCGUGGCCUCCUUCCUCGCCGCGUACAAGACCGGCCGUACUCUUCGCCGCCUAGUCGUCGUCCAACAGGCCAGCACCACCGAUCUCGGUUAAACCCCACCGCGCUGGGUGGAGUAGCUGAUGUACAGCACACGGGCUGCGGCAUGUCGCGAACUCGAGGGUCAUUGAUGUGCCCGGGGCGAGCGGAGGAUGUCCAUCGGCGACCUCGUGCAUGACCCUACCGUGGUGCUGCUGGACGAAUCCACGUCCGGGCUCGACUCCGGCACUCCGUCUCUGCGCUCCACACAGAUGACGUGCUCAAGGACAUGGACACCAUGCACAGCACACAAAUCAAUCAGGUGCUUCUCGAGUUCCGGGCAUACACGGCUGAGGCAGUGGCUCCUCUCCGGGCGAGAGUCAGGGUGUGCUGGAUGACGGUGGCUGCGAGCACGAAAACCCCACCAUCAACGACAGCCUCUGCUACGCCGGCAGGUCGCUUCGUGUGUUGCUUGUGUGCGUUUUUCAAUCCGGCGAAACUCCAUUUAAUACUAAGUAGCUAACUAACCUUUUUGUGAAUCGAUCCAGCUGCUCUACCUGUACACGCGUGUGUUGUCUUCCGGUGAAAACGGUUGGUGCCCAUUGCCGCGAGUCCUGUAGGAGUGACGACGGCGGCCAACCGUGGUGCUCUAACCUGUGUGACGUGGCGGUCAAACAUAUGUGACGUGGCUAGUUUUUGUCAAAACCAUGUCCACGUCAGCACAAAACCACUGUAAAGGGCACGAAGGAGUAAACUUAUCCGGUUUUAAAAGUUAAGGGACUGAGAUUUGCUGGUUUUAGAGUUGAGGGACCAUCUCUAUACUUUUGAAAUAGUUGAGGGACGAAAAAUAUACUUAUCCCGUUUAAAAACGUCUCUACCGCGGCACACGCGCACGUCGUUUCGACGGACACACAGCGCCGGGCUGCUGCCACCACGUUUCGCUAGGCGUGCCUCUGUUUUUAGCUCGAGAACAUAGUUCAUUGUUUAGUACCUGUAACUUUUCUUUUUGCGGUGCAGUAUUGUGGUUGGCUUAAUGAUUUUCUCACUGAGCUGCUUUUUGAGGUAAACUCAGUUGGAUGAGGUUUUUGUUUUCGACAAAGCUAAAAUCCUGCCGUUCGGAUUUUCGCUUUAGAUCCGAACGACCUUUGCAGCGUUAGAUUUUGAUCAAACGGCCGCGAUUCCACUCCCGCUUACUCCGCCGUGAUUUGAGUGUAGGAUGCGAAUUUUUCUCCGGGUCUCUCAAUUAGCCUGAUUAAUGAUCCUGGUAAUUCGGCCUCUUAAAAGACGUGAUUAAUGGGCCUCCUAAUUCCAUGCGUUCAAGGAGUUAAUUGGUCGUAAUUAAUGGACCUGCUGAUUUUAUGCGUGUGUUGCUAGUUACUACUCCCUCCGUUCCGAAUUACUUGUCUUGGAUUUAUCUAGAUACGGAGGUAUCUAGCACUAAAAUGAGUCUAGAUACAUCCGUAUCUAGACAAAUCCAAAACAAGUAAUUCGGAACAAAGGAAGUACUAUUUUUUAAGGCAAAAACAAAUGCGUGGGUGAUAGAAUUCGAACCCACAACCUCAUUAUUUUUAGAUGGUGAAAUUGGAGUAGCUAACCAACUAACCAAUCUAUUCCAUGUGCACAGUGCUAACUUUUUGUGUACAUGUAAACUAUGACCCGAAUUUGAGUAAUUUCUAAACGAGAAAAGGUAGCAAUAGCGCUCGAACUCGGAACCUGGACGUCUAUUAGGCAAAUGUGCCAUCCUUGCUGACCAACUGCACUACACUUUGUGUUAUGACUGACGCUAGGUGUUCUAUAUUCAUUACCACAAGUAGUCCACUACUCUGGUGCAGAUAUCACUUGCAAUUUUUUUCAAGAAAAAAAUUAGUAAAACUCGAGUUUUUCUCUGAAAAAAACUGUAACACUCGAAUUCAAGUACUUGCGGGAGGGAGAAAAAUAUUAUUCCCAUAUUGAGAUUCAAACUGUACUUACUGUAAAUGAAAUGAAGACUAGUAAGCUAUUUGACUUUUUUACCAUUCAAACCAUUUGUAUUAGUGUAAAAAUAUAUUUUACUAGGAUUUCCUCCUAGUGUUUUUCUCAUCAGCGUUGCCCAAUUCAUUCUCUUCGGAAUUUUGUAUUCAUUUUUUUGUAUCACAAUUUUUUCGUUGUUGUUAUCUUUCUAGAUCACAUCGCUCGUAUUUUGAUACGACAAAGCUAAAAUCUGACCGAUCAGAAAAUCAGAACAGAUGCGAACAAUGUGAAUCUCGUCAAUUUCUUGAUCGGACAGGGCUGGCGAUCUUGCGAUGAUUUUGUGUUGCACUUUCCCGACUUAACCACCGUAAUCCAGCACACAUUGAUUGACUUCCGUGCUAAUUGGAUCAUGACCGGCCCGCUCUCCCGAUGAAAUCGCACGCCAGGCCCAGCCGUCCCCUUCUUUUCUCUCUCUCUCAAAAAAUCUAGGUGCGAAAAAUAUAAGUGCUGGGUGUGGGAAUCGAACCUAGCAUGUGUUGUGCUUAUACACAUCACCCGUGCCAUCUCACCAACUGUUACUUAUCUCAAAAAUGGUAACAAGGUAUUUGAACCUUUUUCCUGCAAUAUGAGUAAAAAAAUGCAAAAAAAAAACUAGUUCUUUUCUUAGAUUUUUUACCAACUCAUAUCGAGUUGAUCACAUCGUGGUAAUUUUCACGCCCCGAUAACUUUUGUGUGGAUAUCAUGGUAACNNNNNNNNNNNNNNNNNNNNNNNNNNNNNNNNNNNNNNNNNNNNNNNNNNNNNNNNNNNNNNNNNNNNNNNNNNNNNNNNNNNNNNNNNNNNNNNNNNNNNNNNNNNNNNNNNNNNNNNNNNNNNNNNNNNNNNNNNNNNNNNNNNNNNNNNNNNNNNNNNNNNNNNNNNNNNNNNNNNNNNNNNNNNNNNNNNNNNNNNNNNNNNNNNNNNNNNNNNNNNNNNNNNNNNNNNNNNNNNNNNNNNNNNNNNNNNNNNNNNNNNNNNNNNNNNNNNNNNNNNNNNNNNNNNNNNNNNNNNNNNNNNNNNNNNNNNNNNNNNNNNNNNNNNNNNNNNNNNNNNNNNNNNNNNNNNNNNNNNNNNNNNNNNNNNNNNNNNNNNNNNNNNNNNNNNNNNNNNNNNNNNNNNNNNNNNNNNNNNNNNNNNNNNNNNNNNNNNNNNNNNNNNNNNNNNNNNNNNNNNNNNNNNNNNNNNNNNNNNNNNNNNNNNNNNNNNNNNNNNNNNNNNNNNNNNNNNNNNNNNNNNNNNNNNNNNNNNNNNNNNNNNNNNNNNNNNNNNNNNNNNNNNNNNNNNNNNNNNNNNNNNNNNNNNNNNNNNNNNNNNNNNNNNNNNNNNNNNNNNNNNNNNNNNNNNNNNNNNNNNNNNNNNNNNNNNNNNNNNNNNNNNNNNNNNNNNNNNNNNNNNNNNNNNNACUCACAUGUUGCAGACAUGAUAACUUAUGUACCUCAGUCCUGGUAACUUUGGCGACCCGGGGGGAGGAGUGGGUUGAUGAAAUAUACCCCCCUGGUAACUUUUUGUGUGAAUAGCAUGAUAACUCACACGUCGCAGACCUAAUAACUUAUGUGCCUCGGUCCUGGUAGCUUUGGGGGCGGGGGAUGAAGGGGUGAUGAAAUAUACGCAAGGUAACUCACACGUUGCAGACAUGAUAACUUAUAUACCUCAGUCCUGGUAACUUUGGCGACCGGGGAGGGGGGGGUGAUGAUACCCCCGGUAACUCACACACCACAAACCUGACAACUUUUGUACCCUAGUCUUAAUAACUUUGGACGGGUGUGGGAUGUGGGAAGGUGUUUAAAAACACCCCGGAGACUUUCGUGUAAAUAGCUUGGUACGUACGCACCUUAUAUGUGAUAACUUAUGCAUAAAUACCACGACAACUUUGAUCCGAGGUGGUGGGAGGGGAGAAAGUAGUUUGAAAACAUACCCCUCCCGAUAACUUCCGUACAAAUGUCAUGAUAACUUCCGAUGCUUUGACCUAUAACAGAUUUUAAAGUUUUGAAAUAUGUAGNNNNNNNNNNNNNNNNNNNNNNNNNNNNNNNNNNNNNNNNNNNNNNNNNNNNNNNNNNNNNNNNNNNNNNNNNNNNNNNNNNNNNNNNNNNNNNNNNNNNNNNNNNNNNNNNNNNNNNNNNNNNNNNNNNNNNNNNNNNNNNNNNNNGCAUGUGAAGAGAAGAUUACAAGAACUAUCUUUUAUGUCCCAGUAAUUUCUGUAUAAAUAACAUGAUAACUCGUGUAGCACACGCGUGGUAACUUUUGACCCGAAAUAAAAUAUUGUCGAAACAUACCAACAUGAGAUCUAGUUUCGAAGGUCUUGUCGCGACGAAUCUUUUACGUGAAAACAAUUUUUCAAUUAGACCAACGGUUUGAGCUACAAAAUAUUUUAAAUUUUCGCAUUAGGAAGAAUCUUUGAUGACAUCAUCAAUUUUGUUUUUUCUGCAUGUAUAUGAUUUUUACUCCCUCCGUUCCUAAAUAUUUGUAUUUUUAGGGAUUUUCAAUGAUUACCACGUACGGAUGUAUAUAGACAUAUUUUAGAGUGUAGAUUCACUCAUUUUGCUCCGUAUGUAGUCACUUGUUGAAAUCUCUUAAAAGACAAACAUUUAGGAACGGAGGGGGUAGCUGCUAAUUAACUGCUAAUGGACAGUGGGCACGCAUAGAAAAAAGAAAGAAAAUAAGAUGAAGCUAAUACAUGCAUGCAAGCUAGGAAGGAAUUGUGCGGACCUGUUGCUUAACUUCCGUACGUGUGGAAGUUAGCACAGUCCUUUUCUUUUUGUUUUAGAGAAAUCUCGUUGGAUGAGUUUUUUUUUUUUUGAGAAAAUCUCGUUGGAUGAGGUAGGCAGUAUAUACUCAAUGUUGGCAAAAGCCCACUCAUGACUAAGCCCAGACAUUCGAGCCCAUUGCCCACGUCUGCCUCUCUCGUCGUCCAGGUCGCCCUGUCUGCUCGAGCUCGAAGCCGCCGCACGCCGCCGCUGAAUGCCUAAAUCCCAAUCCCUCCCUCCGAGCUCCGACUGCUCCCGGCUCCACUCCGGAACUGCCGCGCCCACCUUGCCAGCAAACUCCCGCACCUCCAGCGACUAGCGCCGAUGUGGCAUCUCCCUGACCCCCUCCCCGCACCCCCUGCACCUUCUGCUCCAGCGCGGCAGCGCCUGGCAAGCUCUUCCACGCCGGCGUCGGUGGAGCUGAUACACGAGGCACGGAGGUGGAGGCGAGACGACUGGGAGAGCGUGCGUGGACUUCGUUCGGAGAGGUGGUCGCUUGGCGCUGCUCCUGCUCGACAGCUCAAGCAAGGUACACUGAACAAUCUAAUUCUUGGCUUGAUGUGCUCUAUUCAUCUGUAAUCUGUAGAAUUGAUGCUUAUUUCUGUUGAAUGAAACAAAUCGAUACGUAUUUCUGUUGUAAUUGCAGAAUUGAACAUGAAGAGGAACGGGACAGUCCCUUCUCCUGAAACAUAUUACAUGAGUCUAAACCAAACAUGAUUGCAUCUUCUUCAUUACUGUUUCUUCCCUGGCGAUAACUUAGGGGGGAAAAUCGUAUAUCUAAACAUUGCAGCUUAGACUUGCAGAGUUUAUAUUCCAAUAACAUGUAGGGCGGGUGAUCCGUUACAAACUUGCAAUGAAAACGUUAUUUUUCAAGAUAGCAGUUCUCGGCCAGAACCAGCUGAAAGGGGGUCCCGAAAAUAUAUGACACUUGAAUGCAACUGUGACCAAGCAACUUUCACUCACUAUGAUGUGCAAGUUUCUUGGUCAGGAGUCAGGACUUUGUGGAUUGCCUCAAUCUUCUGCACAACAUCGGACAUCGUAGGCCUCGAGUCAGCAAAUUGACUACAACAGUUUAUGGCGAGCUGCAGAAGUUGCACCAUGCUCUCCUCUUCCCCGGCCUUCUGCUCCUGUCCUAAGGGCUGGAGCUCCAUGUCGAAGACCUCCAUCGUCCACUCCUUGCGUACAACAGACCAUGCCCAUUGUGCCAAAUCUAAUCCCUCCUCAUUUUGUGUGCUCUUUGCUGGAUCCUUGCGAGUGAGAACCUCCAGCAUUAGGAUUCCGAAGCUGUACACGUCAGCUUUCUGGGAGACCGACCUAUUGUCGGUGACCUCAGGCGCACGGUAGCCGGAGGCAUUGGAAUACACGCCAAGUGGCAUCAGGCCGUGCUCCGACACACAUGCAUCGUGGGUGCCGGUGAGCAGGAUGUUGGAAGACUUGAUGUUGCCAUGGCAGCUCGAUGGUCCAGCCAAGUGGAUAGCCGCCACACCACGGGCAGCAGCUAGUGAGAUGGCUGACCGCUGCCCCCAGUCCAGGGGAGCUGUGCCAGGGAUUCGGUAACCUAGUAGAUUCACACAUCAUGAAUUAGUGAUGCACCAAAAACAUUAGAAAUCGUAGAAGGAAGUAGUAUAUGAUAGCGUUGUACAGUAUAUACAUUACCGUGGAGCAUUUUUGCAAGGCUACCCAUGCGGACCCUAUUGUACACUAGCAACUUCUCAUCCUCGCUAUAGUAAUACCACCGCAGUGGAGCAAUGUGUUUGUUCUGGAUGGCGCUAAUCAGCUUGACUUGCUGCUCAAAGUCCGCCUUCGGCAAGUCCACAUCCUUCAACCUCUUGGUCACCAGCUCAUAUCCACUCUCAAGUGACGUGCUGUAUGUUGUCCCGACUGUACCCAUGCCCAUAACUUCAGCUGAUCCCCGAAGCAGGUCUUCCAGCUCGAAAUACUGGUUUGUCGCUGUCGGCCUACCGAUAAAAGUUCCCAUGUAUCGGGUACUGCUACUGCUUUCCUGUGAUAGUUCCGCUUUGGAUGGAGCAACGGUUCCCGUUUGGGGUGCACUGCCAUUGCUUUCUUGUGAUGGUGUCGUUUCAGCUGGAGCUACAACUCCCACGUUUAGGGUACUGCUACUGCUUGUUUCGGCAGCCAUUUUAGUUGGGUCCCAAAUUCCCGUUUUUGGGUUACUGCCAUAGGUUUCUUGUGAAGGCGUUGUUUCAGCUGGAGGUACAGUUGUCAUGUUUCGGCCACCGCUACUGCUUUCCAGCGUUGGUGGUUUGGCUGGAGCUUGCUUAUUUUUCCUUACCCAAGAAAACAGUGGUAAUCUUUCUUGUACCUGAUCUGGAGCCUUCCUAAGUUUGCGAAGACGUUCUGCAACUUCUAACAUCUGAGGGCGUUUGUCGUGUUCCAUCCUCAAGCAUUUUCCUGCCAACUUGGCAAUCUCUUCGACAGCCUUCAUGUCUCUCGAUGUUGCAAUCUCAAGAUCAAACAUCUCCCUCACCCUCUUAAACCCUUUUGAAAGAGAUCGAAUGAAACUUUCAACCAAGCCAAUCUCCCCACCCUCUGUUCUUGCUUUUUUUUCUGGUUAUCAGUUCCAGGAGCACAACUCCAAAACUAUAAACAUCACUCUUCGCUGUGAGGCGAUCAUUUUGAGCAAACAGAGGGUCCAUGUAGCCUAUACUUCCUAUCACAUUUAGAGUAUAUAGAGUAUUUUCAGUGUUGACUAGUCUGGAUAUUCCAAAGUCUGAUAUUUUUGCACUGAGUCCAUCAUCCAGAAGUAUAUUAGCAGGCUUGAUAUCACCAUGAAUGACCUGAGUAUACAUUUGUGAGUGCAUAUAGCCCAAUGCUUCUGCACAUUCAAUGGCAAUUCUUAGCCGUGUAUCCAAAGCAAUGGGAAUACUAUCCCGAUGAAGGAUGUCACUCAGAUUUCCUUUAGGAAUAUACUCCAUGACCACCAUUAGGGCAUUUUCAUCUACACAGUAGCCGACUAGUCUGACUACAUUCUUGUGAUUGAUCUCACGGUGGACGGUCAACUCUUUGGCAAAAUUUUCUUUAACAUUGCAGAUAUACUUCUUGACUGCAACCAUUCUUUUGUCUUCAAGGACCCCUUCAUAAACUUCUCCAAAGCUACCUCUACCGAGUAAAGUCUUAUAGUUGUUGGUAAAUCUUUUUAUCUCAUCUUCUGUAAAACAUUUCACAUUAUGAUUGCUUCUUGCUAUCCAUUUUGAUCUAUGCUCUUCCUGGAUAAGUUGUGUUACUAUAUUUUCCGGAUGAUCCAUCUUUGGAAGUAGCAGGGAGCUUAUUCAACGUUGAAAGGUAAUGACCUGGAAAACAGUUUUCGUAGUGCUAAAAGUCAACUUUAAUCCAACAUAUAAAUGCAGAACCUAAUAAACAAAGUAAGAGUGCUUAAUUUCAUUAGAUUAGUUAUCCCAGUGCAUCAUGCAAGCAAUGUAACCGAACUUUCCCAGGCCUUGUGCCUGUUUUGGAAAUAUAAGGUAGGCUUUUGAGCCACCUUCUCAUUUUCAAAAAAAAAAAAAAUCAUUAGAUUAAUUAUCAAUGAAUUUGUAGGGAUUUCAGAUGACCAUUGGAGUUCAUUCAGAAAAAAAACAUCUCCUCUAGCUGCCUGAGAUAACCAAUCAAGAUUGCUAUUUACUGCAGAGAAUCAUUUGUGUUUGUUCAUGGAAGUACAGCGUAGGAGAGUAUAAUUAAUAUUUAUUGUUCACGCCAUGAACGAGGUACGAUCUGGGAAACUCUACGUAAUUGCUUGCUUAUAGGUAAAGUGAAACAAUGAUUUGAGCAUGAAGAAAUGAGGCUGGAAUCGACUUUAAGAAGUGAAGUGUUUAAAAUCAAAAUUUGUAAUCUCUCGGGAAAGAACCAGAGUGAAGCCUUAAGGCAUAGAGAUGAGCAUGGUGCCACGGUUGAACCAAACAUACCAAUUAAGAAUGGGCGCCGUACCUUAGCACAAUCGAUGGAGCUUUGUUUUGUUAGUGAUCGCCCAGAUCGCCAUGGAGUGGAUCUAGAAGAGAACGGAUAGCGUAUAGCUAAGAACAGACUGCCAUCAUCAAUGGCCAACUGUAGUACUAGCAUGAAGAGGAGGUGUCUUUAUCUGUGGAGGUUGGGAUCCUUAAUGACACCAGCUAC
RNAcentral lists this long non-coding RNA (21203 nucleotides) under Triticum aestivum (bread wheat). RNAcentral describes it as "long non-coding RNA (TAES_LNC023210)". The stretch from base 13719 to 13853 matches the Rfam family "MIR1120/MIR1122 microRNA precursor family". The record is from RNAcentral. Lineage: Eukaryota; Viridiplantae; Streptophyta; Magnoliopsida; Poales; Poaceae.